Long non-coding RNA from Octopus sinensis (East Asian common octopus), 84 nucleotides. RefSeq lists it as uncharacterized. The transcript has 3 exons. The record is from RefSeq and is a predicted model, not a curated record. Lineage: Eukaryota; Metazoa; Mollusca; Cephalopoda; Octopoda; Octopodidae.
AGGGGUUAGGUAAGAGUCCAAUUAUGUAACCCUGCAUUCUUCAGAGGUAGCCAUUAUGGAAGGAAAUAUGGGUAAGAUCGGAUG